This 253-nucleotide ribosomal RNA is filed under the name uncultured bacterium. Its description in RNAcentral is "partial 16S ribosomal RNA". It matches the Rfam family "Bacterial small subunit ribosomal RNA", at positions 524 to 776 of the family's 1533-position model. The record is from RNAcentral.
UACGUAGGGUGCGAGCGUUAAUCGGAAUUACUGGGCGUAAAGCGUGCGCAGGCGGUUCGUUAAGUCAGAUGUGAAAGCCCCGGGCUCAACCUGGGAACCGCGCUUGAGACUGGCAUGCUCGAGUUCGGGAGAGGAUGGUGGAAUUCCCAGUGUAGAGGUGAAAUUCGUAGAUAUUGGGAAGAACACCGAUGGCGAAGGCAGCCAUCUGGACCGACACUGACGCUGAGGCGCGAAAGCGUGGGGAGCAAACAGG